UACGGAGGGUGCAAGCGUUGUCCGGAUUCAUUGGGUUUAAAGGGUGCGCAGGCGGGACAUUAAGUCAGGGGUGAAAGACGGUUGCUCAACAAUCGCAGUGCCUUUGAUACUGGUGUUCUUGGGUGACCUUGAGGUAGGCGGAAUGGGUGGUGUAGCGGUGAAAUGCAUAGAUACCAUAAAGAACACCGAUUGCGAAGGCAGCUUACUAAGCUGUAACUGACGCUGAGGCACGAAAGCGUGGGGGAGCGAACAGG
Molecule: ribosomal RNA, 254 nt
Filed under: uncultured bacterium
Lineage: Bacteria
Description: partial 16S ribosomal RNA
Rfam family: Bacterial small subunit ribosomal RNA
Source: RNAcentral